This 73-nucleotide transfer RNA is filed under the name Procambarus clarkii (red swamp crayfish). Its description in RNAcentral is "transfer RNA arginine (anticodon UCU)". It matches the Rfam family "tRNA". From Rfam's summary of the family: Transfer RNA (tRNA) molecules are approximately 80 nucleotides in length. Their secondary structure includes four short double-helical elements and three loops (D, anti-codon, and T loops). Lineage: Eukaryota; Metazoa; Arthropoda; Malacostraca; Decapoda; Cambaridae. The record is from RNAcentral.
GUCCUCAUGGCGCAGUGGACAGCGCGCUGGACUUCUAAUCCAGAGGUCGUGGGUUCGAAUCCCACUCGGGAUA